UAAGACAGAGGUGGCAAGCGUUGUUCGGAAUUACUGGGCUUAAAGGGCGCGUAGGUGUCCCGGCAAGUCAGAUGUGGAAUCUCUCCGCUUAACGGGGAAAUUGCAUCUGAAACUGUCGGGAUUGAGUCAGCGAGGGGAUGGCGGAAUUCCAGGUGUAGCGGUGAAAUGCGUAGAUAUCUGGAGGAAGGCCGGUGGCGAAGGCGGCCAUCUGGCGCUGAACUGACACUGAGGCGCGAAAGCGUGGGGAGCAAACAGGAUUAGAUACCCUGGUAGUCCACGCCCUAAACGGUGGGCACUAGGUGUAGGGCUCGUAAGGGUUCUGUGCCGAAGGGAAACCAUUAAGUGCCCCGCCUGGGGAGUACGGCCGCAAGGUUGAAACUUAAAUGAAUUGACGG
Molecule: ribosomal RNA, 395 nt
Filed under: uncultured bacterium
Lineage: Bacteria
Description: bacterial SSU rRNA
Rfam family: Bacterial small subunit ribosomal RNA
Source: RNAcentral